UCAUGGCCGCCCCUCAGCGCCUCCGGCCCCGCGGGCUCUGCCCCGCCGCUCGGUGUUCGUAGCUCUGCUCCUUUGCGGGGCACGCGCCGAAAUGCAGAGAUCUGCUGUGAACUCUCGCUGCCCGUAAAUUUGAUAAGGUAGAAGAUGAGUAAACAGAAGGGUGACCCCGCGAGCGCUGUCAGAGUAGGAAUUCCCAAUUACAUAAAGCUCUUCUAAGCUACUGGAUUAAUGCAAACACUGACAGGGUGAACAGGGGACAGAUCCUGAUGGAUCAAAACAAAUUCAGCAUGAAGAACAAGAAGAUCCACAAGCAGAAAAAUGCUGAUUUGUUUUGGACCGAGGCCUCAGUCAUGUCCUCAGAAAGUUUUGAUGCAUUUCCAGAGAACUUCAGCACUAAUUAACUUUUAGACCUUACAAAUUAAUCUGCAAUAAGUAUAUUGGACAAGAAGCUGCAUUAUGAACCAGUAGGCACCAUCUUCUCUGGAUAAAUUCAAAUUUGCAGGACAUGCCUGUGAAAGAUAAAGAAGUUUUAUCUGAGAAUUUAUUCUUGUCUGACACUCUCCAAGACUGCCUCAGAAUUAGUUUUUUAGAGCCUAAGAACUCCCAGCUUUUUCUUUUUCUUUUUUCUUUCUUUUUUUUUUUUUUUUUUUUGCUAAUACUUUCCUU
Molecule: long non-coding RNA, 666 nt
Organism: Vidua chalybeata
Lineage: Eukaryota; Metazoa; Chordata; Aves; Passeriformes; Viduidae
Exons: 3
Source: RefSeq, a predicted model, not a curated record